AGAAUCAACGCUGGCGGCGUGCCUAACACAUGCAAGUCGAACGAGAAAGGGGAGCAAUCCCUGAGUACAGUGGCGACCGGGUGAGUAACACGUGACCAAUCUACCUUCGAGUGGGGGAUAACUCCGGGAAACCGGGGCUAAUACCGCAUAACAUCUUUGGAAUGCAAAUUCCGUUGAUCAAAGGAGCAAUUCGCUUGAAGAGGAGGUCGCGGCUGAUUAGCUAGUUGGCGGGUAAUGGCCCACCAAGGCGAAGAUCGGUA
This 260-nucleotide ribosomal RNA is filed under the name uncultured bacterium. RNAcentral describes it as "partial small subunit ribosomal RNA". It matches the Rfam family "Bacterial small subunit ribosomal RNA", at positions 26 to 285 of the family's 1533-position model. The record is from RNAcentral.